RNAcentral lists this ribosomal RNA (253 nucleotides) under uncultured bacterium. RNAcentral describes it as "partial 16S ribosomal RNA". It matches the Rfam family "Bacterial small subunit ribosomal RNA", at positions 524 to 776 of the family's 1533-position model. The record is from RNAcentral.
UACGGGGGGGGCAAGCGUUGUUCGGAAUUACUGGGCGUAAAGGGCUCGUAGGCGGCCAACUAAGUCAAACGUGAAAUCCCUCGGCUUAACCGGGGAACUGCGUCUGAUACUGGAUGGCUUGAGUUUGGGAGAGGGAUGCGGAAUUCCAGGUGUAGCGGUGAAAUGCGUAGAUAUCUGGAGGAACACCGGUGGCGAAGGCGGCAUCCUGGACCAACACUGACGCUGAUGAGCGAAAGCCAGGGGAGCAAACGGG